This 888-nucleotide long non-coding RNA is filed under the name Malus domestica (apple). RNAcentral describes it as "long non-coding RNA (MDOM_LNC000590)". The record is from RNAcentral. Lineage: Eukaryota; Viridiplantae; Streptophyta; Magnoliopsida; Rosales; Rosaceae.
UGACUGGGUGUAAGUAAAUACACUAAAGUGCUAAGAUCAUGUGAAGAUUGUGCGAAUAAUCACGGGUCCCCUAUGAGUCGGAGCCACUUAAAGAUGUCUGUAUGACACGAUUGUGCACCAAACUUGGAUCCAAGGUGAGCGUGCAGUGCAGGAGGUGAACAUCACAUGAAGGACUAUGCCCUGGCCACAGGCGAGAGCACUAACACCGGGGUGCAGGUUUAGGAGCUCUAAAUGUUUCAAUGUAAUCAUAAUCAUGUAACUCACAUCCACAAUCUAUAAACUCACCUGGAACUUACCUGAGCAUUUGUAGCACCAACAAUAAUAUAUGCGACUACUAAAUGCAUAUUCUAAAUAUAAAACAUUUGGCAUGGCAUUCGAAACAUAAAACCAUUUAGAUAAGUUUUCGAGGAAAAAUACCAAGCAUGUAUAUAUAUUGAAAACCAAAAGCCCACUCACUGGUAUGUGGUAGGGUCGUAACCCCCGAGCCUCGUCUGACUGCGCUCGUCCUCAGGAAACGUUUCACAUGUGAAACAACUAUUUUAACGUUAUUUUAAGCACAUAACCAAAACUAUGUAAUAACUUCUCAUACGUUACUCAAUUGGGGUAUUUGAAUAUACCAUCGUGACCUACUCAACCCCACGAACAUCCCCAUAUUUUUAGAAAAAAUUUCUAAGUUCCCACGCGCCCUCACGCGCCGGCAAAGGCACAACCAAAUGCUUCACCCACACGCAGGCACGUGCCUGGCACACUGACGCAUUCCCUAACGGUGUUAGGGAAUAUUCCGUUAAAUAACAGUAUAUUCCGUCUAAAAACUAGUGGUGUUACUUGACGCCGUUAUCAUAUUCCGUCAAAAUUGACGGAAUAUUCUCCUUCUCCCUUGUUGGUUCG